This 490-nucleotide ribosomal RNA is filed under the name uncultured bacterium. Its description in RNAcentral is "partial 16S ribosomal RNA". It matches the Rfam family "Bacterial small subunit ribosomal RNA", at positions 30 to 507 of the family's 1533-position model. The record is from RNAcentral.
AUUGAACGCUGGCGGCAGGCCUAACACAUGCAAGUCGAACGGUAACAGGAAGCAGCUUGCUGCUUCGCUGACGAGUGGCGGACGGGUGAGUAAUGUCUGGGAAGCUGCCUGAUGGAGGGGGAUAACUACUGGAAACGGUAGCUAAUACCGCAUAAUGUCGCAAGACCAAAGAGGGGGACCUUCGGGCCUCUUGCCAUCGGAUGUGCCCAGAUGGGAUUAGCUUGUUGGUGGGGUAACGGCUCACCAAGGCGACGAUCCCUAGCUGGUCUGAGAGGAUGACCAGCCACACUGGAACUGAGACACAGUCCAGACUCCUACGGGAGGCAGCAGUGGGGAAUAUUGCACAAUGGGCGCAAGCCUGAUGCAGCCAUGCCGCGUGUAUGAAGAAGGCCUUCGGGUUGUAAAGUACUUUCAGCGGGGAGGAAGGGAGUAAAGUUAAUACCUUUGCUCAUUGACGUUACCCGCAGAAGAAGCACCGGCUAACUCCGUG